ACAACACAACAAUUGUGACCUCUCAAUAAAAUGUAGACCAGUACGAUAACACGGAAAACUAAAACCUUAAACAAUAAAGAUAUCUUUACAUUAAUACCUCUCUGACAGUGUCAGUCAAAUCUGAACACCAUUGUCUUUGUAAAUGUAGAAUUUAGGGGGAGAGUUUCCUCCAGGGCCAAAGUUGACUCUAACUGUCGGGGCUAACGUCUUCACUUUAUCUUCAGCAGUUGGUAAACAAUACACAGAAACUUCACUUUACAACUGUAACUCACACUGUACACUGACUGCUAAACCCAAAAACCUAUGGCUAACCUGUGUCUCUCUGCUGCCGUUCACCGUCACACACAGUCACUCUUGUUCACACACACCCGCUCUCUCUCUCUCGCUCUACCACACACACACACACACACACACACGCACACACACACACACACACACACACACACACACACACACACACACACACACACACAUACGUUACGCUCACACAUCACACACUGCUCUAUUGCUUAAAGGAGCUACGCUACUCUGAUAACAUAGAGCUGUUGAUCUGGACUGUAAUAGAUUUUACAGGUUUACCUAAUAAAGAACCACUGAAUGUAUAACUGCUAAUAACUACAUCACAGUGUGUUAUUAAUCAUCAAUUACAUCUUUAUAUAUUGUUAGUGAAUGCUUAAAGUAAAGUGUUGCAUUUUAAAUCCUUUUCAAAUGCUUCUAAUAUUUUCAUUUAGAUUGUAGUGAAGCAGUAUUUCCUGUUUAUUGUUAAUGUAUUACGUAAAUCCUUUUUAAUGCUUGUCUAUGCCUUCAGAGUGGUUUAAUCCACAUGUACACUUUAAACAUACAACUGGAACAUUUUGGACCAAAGUACUGUAGCACCCCAACACUCAGUAAACGACUAAGUUAAAGGAACUCACCUUGGACUUGAAUGAUGGGGUGUUUGGGUUCGAUUUAUUAAGGUAGCUACCACGAAGGAUGAAUAAUCAACAACACUGUUAGACUUAUCACUGGCUCUAUUCACACAUACUCUACACUAUUUUAAAUAACUGACCCCCGACAACUCUUUCAAAUAAAUGAAAUAAUAUUUUACUGACCUGUUGUUAGCAGUGUAACACAAAUAAUAUUUACUUUGUUAGUUAAAAAAAAACCCAAAUGAAAUAACACAAUUACUCAAAUCGUUUAAAAUACAAUAUUAUAUUUGAAAUACUACAUUUUAAACAAAUGUACCUUUACCAAAAUUGGCAAAAACACCGUAGAAAAUGAGACACUUAUAAAAUAGUAUUGGCAAUAUUAAAAUACUAUUCAAAACUUAAAUUAUCUCAGGUCUCUGCUAAAAUUCCUUGUUCUUACCCCUUUAAUACGAUUUCUUUAUACUUACCAGACUCAGAUCAGAUAUGCUACUUAACUAAACAAAAUAAAACAGCGGACCCACACACACACACACACACACACACACACACACACACACACACUCUCACAUACACACAAAAAUAAAAAAGUUGUAGGCCUGUGUGUAACUCGGGUGCAGUGCGGCUGACAAAUCUUUAUUCUAUAACAGUCACACAGAAAAUCCAGAAGCAUGCACGUUACUGUCGUGGUACGUUACCUGACUGUUUAGUCAGGACACUGUUUGAAAACAUUUUUAUUUUUUUAAUUCAAUUCAAUUUUAUUUGUAUAGCACCAAUUCAUAACAGAAGUUAUCUCAGGACACUUUUCAAAUAGAGCAGGUCUAGACCGAACUCUUUAUAACAUUAUUUACAGAGACCCAACAGUACCACCAUGAGCAAGACCUUGGAGACAAGGGCAAGGAAAAACUGCCUGUUAAAAGGCAGAAACCUAGGACAGAUCCUCCGGCUCUAGGUGGGUGGUCGUCUGUCUUGACCAACUGGGGUGAGAGAGAGAGAGAGAGAGAGAGAGAGAGAGAGAGAGACAGACAGACAGACAGACAGACAGUCAGACAGACAGACAGACAGGUGCACAGUAACAACAUUAUUGGCAACGGCAAUCUAGCUGGACCAUGGCAGGAGGCUCCACCAGGAUCCAUGAGAACCUGCGAGACGAGAAAGCACAAGAACUCCGGGGAAGAAGUGGAGUUAGUAACAUGCAUUAAUGGGACAUGAAUGAGUGCAGAAAGAGAGAGGAAGAGAGGAGCUCAGUGCACCAUGGGAAAUCCCCCGAUAGUCUAGGCCUAUAGCAGCAUAACUAAGGGAUGGUUCAGGACUCACCUGAUCCAGCCCUAACUAUAAGCUUUAUCAAAGAGGAAUGUCUUAAGCCUACUCUUGAAUGUGGUGAGGGUGUCUGCCUCCAGAACCACAACUGGAAGCUGGUUCCACAGGAGAGGAGCUUGGUAACUGAAGGCUCUGGCUCCUGUUCUACUUUUAGAGACUAUAGGAACCACAAGUAGCCCAGCAUUCAGAGAACGUAGUGUUCUAGAGGGGUAAUAGGGUACUAUGAGCUCUUUAAGAUAUGAAGGGGCCUGACCAUGAAGAGCUUUAUACGUGAGGAGGAGGAUUUUAAAUUCUAUUCUACAUUUUACAGGGAGCCAAUGCAGAGAAGCUAGUACAGGAGAGAUGUGAUCUCUUUUUCUAGUUCCUGUCAGUACUCGUGCUGCAGCGUUCUGAAUUAAUUGGAGCGUUUUAAUGGACUUAUUGGGGCAACCUUAUAAUAAAGAGUUGCAGUAAUCCAGCCUUGAAGUAACAAAUGCAUGGAUUAGUUUUUCUGCAUCUGUCA
Long non-coding RNA from Dicentrarchus labrax (European seabass), 2727 nucleotides. RefSeq lists it as uncharacterized. Lineage: Eukaryota; Metazoa; Chordata; Actinopteri; Moronidae. The record is from RefSeq and is a predicted model, not a curated record. The transcript is spliced from 2 exons.